This 253-nucleotide ribosomal RNA is filed under the name uncultured Bellilinea sp. RNAcentral describes it as "partial 16S ribosomal RNA". It matches the Rfam family "Bacterial small subunit ribosomal RNA", at positions 524 to 776 of the family's 1533-position model. The record is from RNAcentral. Lineage: Bacteria; Bacillati; Chloroflexota; Anaerolineae; Anaerolineales; Anaerolineaceae.
AACGUAGGAGCCAAGCGUUAUCCGAAUUCACUGGGCGUAAAGCGCGUGCAGGCGGCCUGAUAAGUUGGAUGUGAAAGCUCCCGGCUCAACUGGGAGAGGACGUUCAAUACUGUCAGGCUGGAGGGCAGCAGAGGGAGGUGGAAUUCCCGGUGUAGUGGUGAAAUGCGUAGAUAUCGGGAGGAACACCAGUGGCGAAGGCGACCUCCUGGGCUGUACCUGACGCUAAGAUGCGAAAGCUAGGGGAGCGAACGGG